UGGGGAAUUUUGGACAAUGGGCGAAAGCCUGAUCCAGCAAUGCCGCGUGUGUGAAGAAGGCCUUCGGGUUGUAAAGCACUUUUGUCCGGAAAGAAAUCCUUGGCUCUAAUACAGUCGGGGGAUGACGGUACCGGAAGAAUAAGCACCGGCUAACUACGUGCCAGCAGCCGCGGUAAUACGUAGGGUGCAAGCGUUAAUCGGAAUUACUGGGCGUAAAGCGUGCGCAGGCGGUUUGCUAAGACCGAUGUGAAAUCCCCGGGCUCAACCUGGGAACUGCAUUGGUGACUGGCAGGCUAGAGUAUGGCAGAGGGGGGUAGAAUUCCACGUGUAGCAGUGAAAUGCGUAGAGAUGUGGAGGAAUACCGAUGGCGAAGGCAGCCCCCUGGGCCAAUACUGACGCUCAUGCACGAAAAGCGUGGGGAGCAAAACAGGAUUAGAUACCCUGGUAGUCCACGCCCUAAAACGAUGUCAACUAGUUGUUGGGGAUUCAUUUCCUUAGUAACGUAGCUAACGCGUGAAGUUGACCGCCUGGGGAGUACGGUCGCAAGAUUAAAACUCAAAU
This 561-nucleotide ribosomal RNA is filed under the name uncultured bacterium. RNAcentral describes it as "partial 16S ribosomal RNA". It matches the Rfam family "Bacterial small subunit ribosomal RNA", at positions 355 to 906 of the family's 1533-position model. The record is from RNAcentral.